CCUGCGCCUCGAUCAUCGAUAUCAGCGUGCCUUGUGGCGCCCUCUACGUUUCCGGUAGUCGCGGAUCUGUUGCAACCGAGAUCAGAGAAUUGGUUUCCUCUCUUGUGUAACGAUGUCUCGCUACCAAAGCAGCAGCCGUUCCUCCAGCCAGGAAUGCAAGGUGUACGUGGGCGGGCUAGGAUCGUCGUUCGACAAGCAUGACAUCGAAGAGUCUUUCCGAUCGUUUGGAGUGAUGAGAAAUGUGUGGGUGGCCAGGAACCCACCUGGCUUUGCCUUUGUGGAGUUCGAAGACCCACUCGAUGCCCAGGAUGCCGUGAAGGGGCAUAGAAAGCGAAUUUGUGGCCGUGAGGUGACUGUGGAGAUGUCCAGGGGCGAACCGAAGAGUCGGCGUUUUGGUGGCCCGGGGGGCGGCAGACCUCCGCCCCGUCGUGCCAGCCGAAACGACAAGUGCUAUGCCUGCGGCGACUAUGGCCACUUUGCCCGAGAGUGCCCCAGUGGGGGCAGCCGAGGGGGUGGCAGUGAUCGACGGUACAGCGGGGGAGGCUACGGGGGGCGGAGCCGGGACUAUCGGCGCUCCAGGGCUUCCUAUAGUCAGUGUCAUGUGACUCUGAGCUAAACAGGUUUCCCGCUUCUCAAAUUACUGCCUGAAUAUCUUCUUCCCCUGGCGAGUUUUCGGCGCCCACAAUUGCACAUGCUCACGCCCGCACACGCCCGAAACCAUCCCCCCUCGCCUUGCGUCGAUAAAGAGAAAGCUAUCGCCGGCCUCGGGGGUGGGGAUUUUUUUAAGGAUGUGAAGAGCCGAAGACGUGAAGCACAGUUAGGAUUCACGCCGCUACGCAUCAGAGAUGUGUUUUCAGACCGACACCGCCGCUUUUCAAAUUUGCCCUCGGCAAAGCCGUCUCCACCGUUUGCCUCAAAGAUAGAGAGCGUCCAUUUAGAGAGAGUCUUGCGUCGCUUCUCUCCAUGAGAGCAAGCCGGCAAUCCCACUUGCCCACUCCUAAAAAAGAGAGAAAUAUGCUCACAUUUCGUCCAAGUGGCUAAGUACGAAGGGGUCUGUUUUCAACCCUUUUCUCAGUUUCUUUUCUAAUGUUUUCUGUGUCCAUUCCAACUAGUAUCAUUCCUAGAGAGAGACACAAACCGAAUAGCCAGCUUCGUGAACCAACAAAUGGAAUUUAGCUUAAUUGGAAAUAGACAGUGGACCCAAAGACAAAUUUCCAUCUUGUAAACUUACUAGUCUUAUGUUUUCUUUGCAUCCAGAGCUGGAAAUAAUGUUAUUAGAAAAAUGUCUUGACCACAGAAACGUCAGUCGUUCCCAAACUUUGGUUCCCUUUUUGUUUCAGUGUGUCUAAAAUCCAAAGUGCUCAGCUGCUGUGUUGCAGACACGCAAAACUCCAACCACAAAAUUGACGUUAACCUGAAGAAAAAUGUUCGAUUCCUUAGUCAUUUGCAGCCAGAUUUAAGUGAAGAGCAGCCAAGAUAAGACUUUAGAAUUUCAAAAUCUUUUCAAAUGCUGCAUCAGGAGAUGUGUCUUUUACAAAGCUAACUAGUAACGUGAAGUGUUGAACACUAAGUUAAAUAGAGUUGUAACAAAAGCCCGAAUGGCUAAGCUAUUUAUUUUAGCCUCGUGCCAACUGUUCAUUGUCUUUUUAGGUCCCGCUCUAGAAGUCGUAGCCGCAGCUACUCGCCGCGCCGACGUGACAGCGGCAGCAAGUCUCGUAGUCGCAGCAGAAGCCGUUCCCGUUCGCAUCAC
RNA transcript from Acanthaster planci (crown-of-thorns starfish), 1750 nucleotides. It is a transcript of the gene named serine/arginine-rich splicing factor 7-like, with no coding region annotated. Lineage: Eukaryota; Metazoa; Echinodermata; Asteroidea; Valvatida; Acanthasteridae. The record is from RefSeq and is a predicted model, not a curated record.